Molecule: ribosomal RNA, 253 nt
Filed under: uncultured bacterium
Lineage: Bacteria
Description: partial 16S ribosomal RNA
Rfam family: Bacterial small subunit ribosomal RNA
Source: RNAcentral
GACGUAGGGCGCGAGCGUUGUCCGGAUUUAUUGGGUUUAAAGGGUGCGUAGGUGGUCUAUUAAGUCAGUGCUGAAAUAUCCCGGCUUAACCGGGAGGGUGGCAUUGAUACUGAUGGACUUGAGUAAAGUUGAGGUGGGCGGAAUUGACGGUGUAGCGGUGAAAUGCUUAGAUAUCGUCAAGAACACCUAUUGCGAAGGCAGCUCACUAAGCUUUAACUGACACUGAGGCACGAAAGUGUGGGGAUCAAACAGG